CAGCCGCCGCGGUAAAACGUAGGUGGCAAGCGUUGUCCGGAAUUAUUGGGCGUAAAGGGCUCGCAGGCGGUUUCUUAAGUCUGAUGUGAAAGCCCCCGGCUCAACCGGGGAGGGUCAUUGGAAACUGGGAAACCUGAGUGUAGAAGAGGAGAGUGGAAUUCCACGUGUAGCGGUGAAAUGCGUAGAGAUGUGGAGGAACACCAGUGGCGAAGGCGACUCUCUGGUCUGUAACUGACGCUGAGGAGCGAAAGCGUGGGGAGCGAACAGGAUUAGAUACCCGAGUAGUCCCUGUCUCUUAUAC
RNAcentral lists this ribosomal RNA (301 nucleotides) under uncultured bacterium. Its description in RNAcentral is "partial 16S ribosomal RNA". It matches the Rfam family "Bacterial small subunit ribosomal RNA", at positions 509 to 807 of the family's 1533-position model. The record is from RNAcentral.